CACGUAGGGCGCAAGCGUUGUCCGGAAUUAUUGGGCGUAAAGAGCUCGUAGGCGGUCUGUUGCGUCCGCUGUGAAAACUCGGGGCUUAACCCCGAGCCUGCAGUGGAUACGGGCAGACUAGAGGUAGGUAGGGGAGAAUGGAAUUCCCGGUGUAGCGGUGAAAUGCGCAGAUAUCGGGAGGAACACCGGUGGCGAAGGCGGUUGCCUGGAGCUUUGCUGACGCUGAUGCGCGAAAGCGUGGGGAGCGAACAGG
This 253-nucleotide ribosomal RNA is filed under the name uncultured bacterium. RNAcentral's name for it is "partial 16S ribosomal RNA". It matches the Rfam family "Bacterial small subunit ribosomal RNA", at positions 524 to 776 of the family's 1533-position model. The record is from RNAcentral.